This 492-nucleotide ribosomal RNA is filed under the name uncultured bacterium. RNAcentral's name for it is "partial 16S ribosomal RNA". It matches the Rfam family "Bacterial small subunit ribosomal RNA", at positions 29 to 507 of the family's 1533-position model. The record is from RNAcentral.
AGUGAACGCUGGCGGUAGGCCUAACACAUGCAAGUCGAACGGCAGCACAGUAAGAGCUUGCUCUUACGGGUGGCGAGUGGCGGAGGGGUGAGGAAUACAUCGGCACCUACUUUUUCGUGGGGGAUCACGUAGGGAAACUUACGCUAAUACCGCAUACGCCCUACGGGUGUAUGCAGUGGCUCUUCGGACCUUGCGCGAUUGAAUGAGCCGAAGUUGGACUAGCUAGUUAGUGGGUUAAUGGUCCACCAAGGGUACGCUCCGUCACCGGUCUGAGAGGAUAAGCACCCACACUGGAACGGGGGCACGGACCAGACUCCUACGAGUGGCAGAAGUGGGGAAUAUUGGCCAAUGGGCGCAGGCGUGAUCCAGGCAUACCGCGUGGGUGAAGAAGGCCUUCGGGUUGUAAAGCUCUUUUGUUGGGAGAGAAAAGCAGCAGUUUAAUACCCCGCUGUUCUGACGGUACCCAAAGAAUAAGCACCGGCUAACUUCGUG